GUUUUAACUGGCUGGGGGACUGGUCAUGUCCUGUGCUGGCAGAUUAUCAUUGCUGGGGCUGCAGGAUUAUUAAAGGGCCAGGACUGUAAGGUUAUUUGAAGCCAGAGAACUCCUAUACAAAUUAAGUGGGCACAAAAUAUCCAGCUGAGAACCUGCGAGGAAUGUGAGUGCCCUGAGGUUCCAGCUCUUCCACAAGGCCAGUGGAAAGAAAAACCCUUCUGAAACGAGUGAAGUUUUAUUAUGAAAAAGGAGAAACUUCCACCCCUCAAAGGACAUGGCACCUAUGAGAAAGAGUAAUGGUGGCACAUUGGAGAGUAGGGGCCUGCAGUAGUAAUGCAAAGAGGGAUGCAAAUCAGAG
Molecule: long non-coding RNA, 358 nt
Filed under: Gopherus agassizii (Agassiz's desert tortoise)
Lineage: Eukaryota; Metazoa; Chordata; Testudines; Testudinidae
Description: lncRNA (ENSGAGG00000025708.1)
Source: RNAcentral